Long non-coding RNA from Raphanus sativus (radish), 1365 nucleotides. RefSeq lists it as uncharacterized. The transcript is spliced from 5 exons. NCBI's taxonomy places the organism in Eukaryota, Viridiplantae, Streptophyta, Magnoliopsida, Brassicales, Brassicaceae. The record is from RefSeq and is a predicted model, not a curated record.
ACAUCAACUCUCAGUAUGUCCACUUAGGCAGAUUAAAUCGACCAAUAGGAAUAGAAUGGCGAAUUGCAUACCAAAACUGGCAAACGCCAUUGUUAUCUGCUUUUUUAGCUUCCAGAUGCGAGAGGAAGUUCUAAGAAGAUGAUCGGAGGAAGAAAGUCGAAGGCUUUUCCCUUCUCAAUCUGAAUGUUUUCAGAGGCAAGGAAAUACUUUCUCAACAAAAGCUGGGACCUUAUUACUUUCUCAACAAAAGAUGGGUCCUUUCUUUUGUAAAUCAUGAUAAGGAGGGUUUCCAUUUUCUCUGAUUUUGAGAGAUAUGAGUAUCGCAGUCCAUUCAGAUUGCUUGGCCAGCCAACAAAUGGAAAGCUUGAAUUGAUGGAUGGUCAAUGAUGCAAACUUGAUGUGCAUGUCAAUAAAAUUUCUAGCAUCCUCGGGCCACACAGAAACUCCCUAAAAAAAGUUGAGCGCAACACACUGUAAGGUUUUUAUUAGAGGGCGAGGAUCUGUGAAAGACAUUGUCAAGCUGAAAUCAAAGAUAGAGAAAUCAACAACAGAGUUUUUAAAAUAUAAUCUUUAUGGAAACCAUCUGAGUGCGACAAUGUUUUGAGAUAUUGGCUAAUGAAAAAAGGGAGUAAUUGAGAAGAAUCAGACGAAGAUGAACAUGAACAUCAGCUUGGUCCACGUCACCGGAACCAUUCCUGAUUUCCUGGCUUUUUUUUAUUCCUUAUCCAGUGGCUAUGAGAUUGUUUGACACUAACUUUAGUUUCUUACAUAUUCAUUUCAUAGUUACAAGAUGAGUUUUUGAUGGACUAUUGGUGUCAGCAUCAGCAUUAGAAACAUAGGGAAAUUGCAAAAGUGAUCAUGAUGCAGAAGAUUCAUCAAGAGUAGUUUACUCAGAAAAAUUCCCUGAAGCAGAGAAAAUGGUGUACUGAUCUUAGUUGGAAAACUUAAGGGACACACAAUACCGAUACAUUGUGGCAAGACCUACAAACGUCUUUCAUUAUCCGAAAAGAAAAACGUAACGAAAAACUGUUUGAUGCAGCGACUGCUUAAGUAAAUGAUAGGCAAAAUAUUUCCCUUCCCUAAUUUGAUAGAGACACACUGUUUUGUAAAAUGAAUGAAUCGUUUCAUGUUUGGCUGGUAUUGUAGUCGCUAAAGUUCUUUGCUAACAAGAGGGAAAGAGCCGGAAGAUUUGGAAGUGAGUUUAAUAGAAUUUUUCAAGACCCUGCUUCUGAGUUAUGUGGUUGCAACUUGCAAGUAGGAGUAAAUGAUUAACACGUAAAAGUUUAUUUCCUUUGACGACAUGAUUAUUUGGAAUUAUUUUAGGGGGGUUUGUGGUAAUAGUUUAUAAAAAAAGUUAUUAAUUCA